GAUGAACGCUGGCGGCGUGCCUAAUACAUGCAAGUCGAGCGAACAGACGAGGAGCUUGCUCCUCUGACGUUAGCGGCGGACGGGUGAGUAACACGUGGAUAACCUACCUAUAAGACUGGGAUAACUUCGGGAAACCGGAGCUAAUACCGGAUAAUAUAUUGAACCGCAUGGUUCAAUAGUGAAAGACGGUUUUGCUGUCACUUGUAGAUGGAUCCGCGCCGCAUUAGCUAGUUGGUAAGGUAACGGCUUACCAAGGCAACGAUGCGUAGCCGACCUGAGAGGGUGAUCGGCCACACUGGAACUGAGACACGGUCCAGACUCCUACGGGAGGCAGCAGUAGGGAAUCUUCCGCAAUGGGCGAAAGCCUGGCGGAGCAACGCCGCGUGAGUGAUGAAGGUCUUCGGAUCGUAAAACUCUGUUAUUAGGGAAGAACAAAUGUGUAAGUAACUAUGCACGUCUUGACGGUACCUAAUCAGAAAGCCACGGCUAACUACGUG
Molecule: ribosomal RNA, 497 nt
Filed under: uncultured bacterium
Lineage: Bacteria
Description: partial 16S ribosomal RNA
Rfam family: Bacterial small subunit ribosomal RNA
Source: RNAcentral